AAUGGGCGAAAGCCUGAUGCGGCAACGCCGCGUGAACGAUGAAGUUUUUAGGAAUGUAAAGUUCUGUCGUAUGGGAAGAGUCUUCGAAUGUUAAUACCAUUCGUUAAUGACGGUACCAUACAAGAAAGCACCGGCUAACUUCGUGCCAGCAGCCGCGGUAAUACGAGGGGUGCUAGCGUUGUCCGGAUUUACUGGGCGUAAAGGGUACGUAGGCGUUUUAAAAAGUUGAAUGUUAAAUAUCUUAGCUUAACUAAGAAAGUGCAUUCAAAACUGUUAAAAUAGAGUUUGAGAGAGGAACGCAGAAUUCAUGGUGGAGCGGUGACAUGCGUAGAUAUCAUGAGGAAAGUCAAAUGCGAAGGCAGCCUUCUGGCUCAAAACUGACGCUGAGGUACGAAAGCGUGGGGAGCGAACGGGAUU
This 417-nucleotide ribosomal RNA is filed under the name uncultured Deferribacteraceae bacterium. RNAcentral's name for it is "bacterial SSU rRNA". It matches the Rfam family "Bacterial small subunit ribosomal RNA", at positions 370 to 779 of the family's 1533-position model. Lineage: Bacteria; Pseudomonadati; Deferribacterota; Deferribacteres; Deferribacterales; Deferribacteraceae. The record is from RNAcentral.